This is a small nucleolar RNA of Cavia porcellus (domestic guinea pig), 140 nucleotides long. It matches the Rfam family "Small nucleolar RNA SNORA48". Rfam says of the family: The snoRNA ACA 48 has been identified to guide pseudouridylation of the residue U3797 in the 28S rRNA subunit. Its host gene EIF4A1 (eukaryotic translation initiation factor 4A1) is shared with U67 and snoRNA mgU6-77 NCBI's taxonomy places the organism in Eukaryota, Metazoa, Chordata, Mammalia, Rodentia, Caviidae. The record is from Rfam.
AACCCUGGCAAUGGGCAGAGACACCUUAUUGCUGGUGUUGCCCUUACAUCAAUCAGGGGCAGAGCAGAUGACAAUCCUUUGUUCAUCCUAGCUGAUGCCUGGAUUGGUGGCCAAAGCUGUUUCAUGCCUAGGGCACAUAA